This 1342-nucleotide long non-coding RNA is filed under the name Lotus japonicus. RNAcentral's name for it is "long non-coding RNA (LJAP_LNC001497)". The record is from RNAcentral. Lineage: Eukaryota; Viridiplantae; Streptophyta; Magnoliopsida; Fabales; Fabaceae.
UUUCUCUGCCCUGAUCACUCAUCUUGUAUCCAAGAAAGGUAAUUGCACUAUUUAUGAACAAAGAAGCUGAGUAGAUAAAAGCAAGGAUGAAACUUGUCUUCCCCAUGGUAUGAGGUGAAUUUUAAUUCAAUAUGCAUCUUUUUCAAAUCCAAGUUGUUGAUAGAAGGCUCCAUAAAUCUCAAGUGACCUAUCUGAAAUUCAAACUUCAAUGUGUAAAGCUAGAUGAACCUACACUUAGAAUAAUGAAAAACCACAUCCAUGAUUUGCAUAAAUUAAGAGGCUUCCACCAUAAAAAAGAUGGAUGCAUUAGAAAUAAAGUAGUUUACUUGGCCACAUGGAGUAAUACAGUUUAACAAUUCAAUCACUGACAACUUCUGCAGGCACACAAAAGUAAAAUGAGAGAUGUUUCCAGAGACAUGUUCAAAUUCCAGGGGAGAGAUUCUUUCACAACGGAUAUAUCUUAGAGAAUCAAGAGAGGGAUAUGCUCAAUGAGAGAUGUUUCCAAGGACAUGCUCAAUUUCCAGGGGAGAGAUUCUUUCACAGCUUAUAUGCCUUAGAGAAAGUCUCAAGAGGGGGAUAAGCUGAAACAUUAUAUCAAAAUAGAAAGUAGUGAGCAAAGUAAAAGCAUUCUUAUUUGUCCUUCCACUGCACGAAAGCUCCCUUUAGCAACCUAACUUCUAUAAUUUAAGUCAACAAACAAAGGAAGAUCAAUAUCGAGAAACAAAAAGCGUAUGAAUAUCAAAUUACAGUAAAAGGCUGUAAUCGGAUGGAUACAUUUUUGUGUUAAAAUUAACUUAUGGCAUAAAAUGGUAGCAUACAACACACUUAACAAUGAUAGAGAAGUUUAAUAGUACUAUGUGGUAUGAGCCUAAGAGAAAAGGAACCAUUCAAAAUGAGCAAAGGAAUUAUGACAUAAAAUGGUACGCUAAAGUGGUAGUCUACUUAUCAACAUUACUCAAUUUAUGAUUUUCCUCAUGGGUCUAUCUACUUACUCUAUCUCUUGACUUUUCUUUUAAUCGAUCUAUCUCCCUUUCCUUCUCUUUAGUUUUAUCUUUCCCCUUGUCCUUCUCCCCAUCUCUAUAGCUUACCCUCUUCUUUUAACUAUCUGUAUGCUUCUCUCGCUCUCUUUCCUUUGCCUUAUCCCUAUCCCUUUCAUUCAAAUAAACCAACACCUGAAUUAUAGCAAAUACUACUAAUUAAGUAUAGAAACAAACAUAUCUCACACUGCAAAAAAAUUAAAAAACUUAAUGAGCCGAGCUAAAGCAAAAGCUCCAUCAUACCGAACCUCCUCAUCUCUCUUUUCAUGGCAGUCUACUUUAUCAUCAACAUUACUCAAUUUAUG